Molecule: ribosomal RNA, 199 nt
Filed under: uncultured bacterium
Lineage: Bacteria
Description: partial 16S ribosomal RNA
Rfam family: Bacterial small subunit ribosomal RNA
Source: RNAcentral
ACGCUCGACACCUACUGGAGGCAGCAGUGGGGAAUAUUGCACAAUGGGGGAAACCCUGAUGCAGCGACGCCGCGUGGAGGAAAGAAGGUCUUCGGAUUGUAAACUCCUGUUGUUGGGGAAAAAGNGGAUGGUACCCAACAAGGAAGUGACGGCUAACUACGUGCUAGCAGCCGCGGUAAUCUGAGCGGGCUGGCAAGGC